GAUGAACGCUGGCGGCGUGCCUAAUACAUGCAAGUCGAGCGAACGGACGAGAAGCUUGCUUUUCUGAUGUUAGCGGCGGACGGGUGAGUAACACGUGGAUAACCUACCUAUAAGACUGGGAUAACUUCGGGAAACCGGAGCUAAUACCGGAUAAUAUUUUGAACCGCAUGGUUCAAAAGUGAAAGACGGUCUUGCUGUCACUUAUAGAUGGAUCCGCGCUGCAUUAGCUAGUUGGUAAGGUAACGGCUUACCAAGGCAACGAUGCAUAGCCGACCUGAGAGGGUGAUCGGCCACACUGGAACUGAGACACGGUCCAGACUCCUACGGGAGGCAGCAGUAGGGAAUCUUCCGCAAUGGGCGAAAGCCUGACGGAGCAACGCCGCGUGAGUGAUGAAGGUCUUCGGAUCGUAAAACUCUGUUAUUAGGGAAGAACAUAUGUGUAAGUAACUGUGCACAUCUUGACGGUACCUAAUCAGAAAGCCACGGCUAACUACGUGCCAGCAGCCGCGGUAAUACGUAGGUGGCAAGCGUUAUCCGGAAUUAUUGGGCGUAAAGCGCGCGUAGGCGGUUUUUUAAGUCUGAUGUGAAAGCCCACGGCUCAACCGUGGAGGGUCAUUGGAAACUGGAAAACUUGAGUGCAGAAGAGGAAAGUGGAAUUCCAUGUGUAGCGGUGAAAUGCGCAGAGAUAUGGAGGAACACCAGUGGCGAAGGCGACUUUCUGGUCUGUAACUGACGCUGAUGUGCGAAAGCGUGGGGAUCAAACAGGAUUAGAUACCCUGGUAGUCCACGCCGUAAACGAUGAGUGCUAAGUGUUAGGGGGUUUCCGCCCCUUAGUGCUGCAGCUAACGCAUUAAGCACUCCGCCUGGGGAGUACGACCGCAAGGUUGAAACUCAAAGGAAUUGACGGGGACCCGCACAAGCGGUGGAGCAUGUGGUUUAAUUCGAAGCAACGCGAAGAACCUUACCAAAUCUUGACAUCCUUUGACAACUCUAGAGAUAGAGCCUUCCCCUUCGGGGGACAAAGUGACAGGUGGUGCAUGGUUGUCGUCAGCUCGUGUCGUGAGAUGUUGGGUUAAGUCCCGCAACGAGCGCAACCCUUAAGCUUAGUUGCCAUCAUUAAGUUGGGCACUCUAAGUUGACUGCCGGUGACAAACCGGAGGAAGGUGGGGAUGACGUCAAAUCAUCAUGCCCCUUAUGAUUUGGGCUACACACGUGCUACAAUGGACAAUACAAAGGGCAGCGAAACCGCGAGGUCAAGCAAAUCCCAUAAAGUUGUUCUCAGUUCGGAUUGUAGUCUGCAACUCGACUACAUGAAGCUGGAAUCGCUAGUAAUCGUAGAUCAGCAUGCUACGGUGAACACGUUCCCGGGUCU
Molecule: ribosomal RNA, 1372 nt
Filed under: uncultured bacterium
Lineage: Bacteria
Description: bacterial SSU rRNA
Rfam family: Bacterial small subunit ribosomal RNA
Source: RNAcentral